GGCUGAAAAACUGGGCUUGUGACAGUUAUUUCUUGUGCCUCUUCCCUGGAGUUCUAGAGCUCUCUUCCCACUACUCCACUGAUUCCACUCCUUUUGCUCUGUUUCUUUCAUAUUAAAAUUUAUUUUACAGCAAUCAAAAGUCACAAAAGGCACUUUGCAACAGUUGAGCCAGAGUGAGCCCCAGCAAGGGAGCUACUGAGGAUACCAACCCGCUGCCUGCAAAGGAAGGGCUCCUGGGAGGGCAGGGUCACCCAGAGAUAGCUGACCUUAGCUCUGGUCACAGCAAAUGAGUGCUUAAGUUUCUCUGCAUGCUGUAUUUUGCAUGUUUUUGUAUUGUUCCAUUUACAAAUAUCCAGCCCUCAGCUCACAGGCACCUGAACUCACUUCUUUGUUCCACCUCUUCCAGCAGGUCCUUCCUCACCCAAACUAUUUCAGGGUCUCUACACCUUGAGCUGACAGCCCUUUGCCCAAACUGUCUCUGCAGAUGACAGAAAGAUUCUGCUUCAGUGCCACAGACUCUUCCAGCCACCCCAUACAGAAACUACACUUUGUUGCGCAGCUGCCCUCAGCCACAGGGAGCCCAUAGCAAAAUAAAAUCUGUUCUCAACUCCUUAGUUGUUGUUUGGAGCUCUCGAGUUUGCUCAGGGAUGAGAUUAGGGUGCUGUAUCUGUGCCAGUCUCUGUGUUUUCUAGUAUUGGCAGUUACACUUGAAGCACUAACUGGUCUGGAAGUGCUUCCCCUUCUGCAUAAAGGGCUGACCAGAGCAGGUCAACAUAGCUCUGCAGUACACCAAUAUAUGUACCUCUGCUUUUGAGAUACUUUCAGGCUGGGAGGUGCUAGAAGAGUGCAGAAAGAAGAGGCUGCAACAAAAGGAGAGUGUAAUGACAUAAUAAAUGAGACUUCUACCCAGAAUUUCCAAACUCAAAAUGGCAGUAAUUCCAGUGGUGAAUGAAGAAAGAAAUCCAGCAUUUCCCACUGUUCGAAUAAGAUGUAAGAACUCCAAGUUCUAUAAAUUAUAUAUAUAUAUAAAAAUCUCUUUACACAAUUAACCAUUGAGUCACAAAGGAUUGUUUAUGCUAAUGUUUUGUUUCUUAGUUUAGAAAUAACAACAGACAGAAAACAAAUUAAACUCCUAAAAUUCUUGCAGCUUCAUAAUCAAC
Molecule: long non-coding RNA, 1160 nt
Filed under: Gallus gallus (chicken)
Lineage: Eukaryota; Metazoa; Chordata; Aves; Galliformes; Phasianidae
Description: lncRNA (ENSGALG00010025141.1)
Source: RNAcentral